RNAcentral lists this ribosomal RNA (911 nucleotides) under uncultured archaeon. RNAcentral's name for it is "bacterial SSU rRNA". It matches the Rfam family "Archaeal small subunit ribosomal RNA", at positions 1 to 922 of the family's 1478-position model. The record is from RNAcentral.
UUCCGGUUGAUCCUGCCGGAGGUCACUGCUAUUGGGAUUCGACUAAGCCAUGCGAGUCGAGAGGGUUCGGCCCUCGGCUGACGGCUCAGUAACACGUGGAUAAUCUGCCCUUAGGUGGAGGAUAAUCUCGGGAAACUGAGGAUAAUACUCCAUAGAUCUAGGAUGCUGGAAUGCUUCUAGAUUUAAAGCUCCGGCGCCUAAGGAUGAGUCUGCGGACUAUCAGGUUGUAGUCAGGGUAAAGACCUGACUAGCCUACGACGGAUACGGGUUGUGAGAGCAAUAACCCGGAGACGAUAUCUGAGACACGAUAUCGGGCCCUACGGGGCGCAGCAGGCGCGAAAACUUCACACUGUGCGAAAGCGCGAUGAGGGAAUCCCAAGUGUUUGCUCGUAAGAGUAAACUGUUUCUUUGUUUAAAAUGCAGAGAGAGUAAGGGCUGGGUAAGACGGGUGCCAGCCGCCGCGGUAAUACCUGCAGCUCAAGUGGUGAUCAUUAUUAUUGGGCCUAAAACGUCCGUAGCCGGUUUAGUAAAUGCCUGGGUAAAUCGUGUAGCUUAACUAUACGACUUCCGGGUAGACUGCUAAACUUGAGACCGGGAGAGGCUAGAGGUACUCCUGGGGUAGAGGUGAAAUUCUGUAAUCCUAGGGGGACCACCAGUGGCGAAGGCGUCUAGCUAGAACGGGUCUGACGGUGAGGGACGAAGCCCUGGGGCACAAACCGGAUUAGAUACCCGGGUAGUCCAGGGUGUAAACGCUGCUUGCUUGAUGUUAGUUGGGCUCCGAGCCCAACUAGUGUCGGAGAGAAGUUGUUAAGCAAGCUGCCUGGGAAGUACCGUCGCAAGGCUGAAACUUAAAGAAUUGGCGGGGAGCAUAGCACGGGUGGAGCGUGCGGUUAAUUGGAUUCAACGCCGGA